Molecule: ribosomal RNA, 253 nt
Filed under: uncultured bacterium
Lineage: Bacteria
Description: partial 16S ribosomal RNA
Rfam family: Bacterial small subunit ribosomal RNA
Source: RNAcentral
GACAGAGGGUGCGAACGUUGCUCGGAAUUACUGGGCGUAAAGCGCGUGUAGGCGGGUGAUCAAGUCAGGUGUGAAAUCCCUGGGCUCAACCCAGGAACUGCACUUGAAACUGGUUGCCUUGAGUGUUGGAGAGGGAAGCGGAAUUCCUGGUGUAGAGGUGAAAUUCGUAGAUAUCAGGAGGAACACCGGUGGCGAAGGCGGCUUCCUGGACAACUACUGACGCUGAGACGCGAAAGCGUGGGGAGCAAACAGG